RNAcentral lists this long non-coding RNA (2703 nucleotides) under Carassius auratus (goldfish). Its description in RNAcentral is "lncRNA (ENSCARG00000015055.1)". The record is from RNAcentral. Lineage: Eukaryota; Metazoa; Chordata; Actinopteri; Cypriniformes; Cyprinidae.
AUGAAGCCCAUAUUCAGCCUGUUGACUUCGAGUCUGCUGUAUCCCUGCCAUUCAACUGUAUGGAGAGAAGUGUUCGUUCCUUCCACUGCCUGUGAACUGUAUACUUGUCUGAAACAUCCAUUCUGUCCGUCUCAGAAGAAGCCCCAUUCAGCCUGUUGACUUCGAGUCUGCUGUAUCCCUGCCAUUCAACUGUAUGGUGAGAAGUGUUCGCUCCUUCCAAUGCAUGUGAACUGUAUACUUGCCUGAAACAUCCAUUCUGUCUGUCUCAGAAGAAGCCCCAUUCAGCCUGUUGACUUCGAGUCUGCUGUAUCCCUGCUAUUCGUCUGUAUUGUGAGAAGUGUUCGUUCCUUCCAAUGCAUGUGAACUGUAUACUUGCCUGAAACAUCCAUUCUGUCUGUCUCAGAAGAAGCCCCAUUCAGCCUGUUGACUUCGAGUCUGCUGUAUCCCUGCCAUUCAACUGUAUGGUGAGAAGUGUUCGCUCCUUCCAAUGCAUGUGAACUGUAUACUUGCCUGAAACAUCCAUUCUGUCUGUCUCAGAAGAAGCCCCAUUCAGCCUGUUGACUUCGAGUCUGCUGUAUCCCUGCUAUUCAUCUGUAUGAGGAAGCCCCAUUCAGCCUGUUGACUUCGAGUCUGCUGUAUCCCUGCUAUUCAUCCGUAUUGUGAGAAGUGUUCGUUCCUUCCAACGCAUGUGAACUGUAUACUUUGUCUGAAGCAUCCAUUCUGUCUGUUUCAGUAGAAACCCUGCACAGCCUGUUGACUUAGAGUUUGUUGCAUCCUUGUGGCCCACCUGUGCUGAGAGAGGUGACUGUCCUUUGUCGCGAACGUGAGAUGGGCACGCUUUGUCUGGAAUAUCCACUCUGACGGCGUCAGGAGAAGCCACCUUACUGUAAGACCGUGCACCUGCCGUAUACGUACUUGACUGAUAUCAUUCACCUCAAAUUCCGUACCUGUGGAAGAAGGAAAGAAGGCUGGAAUUACAUACGUACCGGAGGAGACUUACCGGACCCCUCACUUGCCAAACACAUCCCCACCUCAAGGCUGUGUAUCUGCCGUGUACGGACCUGACCGAUAUCCAUCCGUCCCAAAUUCUGCAUCUGUGAAGAAGGGAAGGGAGUUUGGAAGUAUUUAAUUACCAGAGGAGACUUACCAGACUGCGGGCUUGCCGAUUGUAUUCCCACCUGUGAAAUACCUACUUGACCACCCAUCUGUCCAUCUAUUGCGGGGCCCGCACAGAGGAAGAGGGCGGGAGAGUCCCCGGUCGCUGCAUUGUUUACCUUCAAGCCCUGAGGGUAACAAAGAAGAUUUUAGGUUAGGAUUCCCAAUUUGCUUUUACUUCAAAAUAAAACUUGUUAAAUUUAUUCUCUGUCUCCGACUCUUCCCUCUGAUACGCUCCUCGAGGUGGUCCUGGUUUAGGGGUGGGCGCAGUCCAGCUUGGCCCUCCUGACCUGUGACAUGUAUUUAGCAACAUUUUCUCGGUUAUAUGUGGGGAGUGUCUUGAGACCCUAGGGAAAUUGUAAUUCUUCUUAUUGGCUUUUUAAAAAGUAUGUUCAUUCUAUAUUUAAAUAACUUUCUUUUCAAUUAACUUUGUAAUUGUUUAUUUUGAAAGCCCUGAUUUAUUUCCUUAUUUUGGUUUUGUAUUUUACAUAGUGGUAGGGUUGUUGUUAAAUACUCAUUUUGAUUGUUUUACAUUCUGUGCUCUAAAUCAAUAAGAUGUUAGCAUAGUGUGAGUCGAGCUGUAAAAAAAUAGUUCCCAAAAUUAGUCCAGAGAAACAAAAUUAAAGAACCUGUGUGAUCACUCUAAAUAUCUCUGGAAAGAAGAGCCUUCUAUCUGAGUAGGGUCUUACACAUAAUAUAUAAUACAUAAUAAUGUUAAUGUAACAUUUUACAGACAAAUUUAUACUGUAUGCAAGCUGAUAAAAGAUUGAAAUACCUCUGGUUUAUAGAUGUUCCUCAUAGUUCUGCUUAAAAUCACAGUGAUUAUAUAACUGUAGCUCUGCAGGUUCUGCUAUCUCUCUCUCUCUCUCUCUCUCUCUCUCUCUCUCUCUCUCUCUCUCACUCACUCUCUCUCACUCCAUAUAUCCUCAUUGUUACAGCUCAUGUAUACCACAGAAUACAAAUGGAAAAAAUAAGAUGAAAUGUGUUCAUCUUGAGCAUUUCCCACCGAAUUCUGACUGUGUGUCCUUUUACAGAGUCACCUAACUAGUGUGUAUCUGAGUGUUGGCUCAGCAGAAAAAAGUGUGAUGAAUUGAGAAAAGAAGAUUUUAAUGAGCACACCUUUCCAAGGUCACCUUCUGUUUUUACAUAUACACUGAUGGACUAUAACAAACAAAUAUGAUUCCAUGGGAUCGAGUUCAUAUCUUCAUGUUACAUUCUUACAGUUCCCACAGCACAUUUAAAGUGGGGGUGCAUUUAAAAAUACACCAAUUAGAGGAAUGAUAAAUGCAGUCAAAUGUCUUUCUUGGGUAUUUAAAUGUAUUUGUGUCAUGCUAAAUGAUAGUCCAUGUAUAUGUAUAUUAAUUGUUUAGCAAUAUUUUUUUAUGUGGCAUUCCAACUUAAGUCUGAUAUAUUUCAGUGCAUUAUUAUUAUUACUUAUAUAUAUAUAUAUAUAUAUAUAUAUAUAUAUAUAUAUAUAUAUAUAUAAUAUAAUAUAAUAUAAUAUAAUAAUAAUAAUAAUAAUAAUAAUAAUAAUAAUAAUAAUAAUAA